Molecule: long non-coding RNA, 304 nt
Filed under: Malus domestica (apple)
Lineage: Eukaryota; Viridiplantae; Streptophyta; Magnoliopsida; Rosales; Rosaceae
Description: long non-coding RNA (MDOM_LNC019095)
Source: RNAcentral
AUUCAGCCUCUGAACUUGAACUAGGUUCACUAGGUUCUGGAUGCCUCUUCUUUCUUCUCAAAGUUCUUUCAAAAUCGCCGUCGAACUUCGAGAUGUUUGCACUGAUAUGUUGAGAACUACGAGUCAUAAACUAGUACCUGAAAAUAAGAAAUAAACCCAAUCAGCAAACUAAAAUAAAAACACACAAAAAUAUAUAAGCACACAAAUUAAACCCUCUUUUUAUCAAAUGUAGUAAAGUAUGUAAGUAAGGAUCGUUCUAGGCCUGGGAUUAGGAGGGAUAGCUAAAUCACUUGGAAACUGACUU